CCUACGGGAGGCUGCAGUGGGGAAUAUUGCACAAUGGGGGAAACCCUGAUGCAGCGACGCCGCGUGAGUGAAGAAGUAAUUCGUUACGUAAAGCUCUAUCAGCAGGGAAGAAAAAGACGGUACCUGAGUAAGAAGCCCCGGCAAACUACGUGCCAGCAGCCGCGGUAAUACGUAGGGGGCAAGCGUUUUCCGGAUUUACUGGGUGAAAAGGGAGCGGAGACGGUGCGCAAAGUCUGGAGUGAAAUGCCGCAGCUUAACUGCGGAACUGCUUUGGAAACUGGCGAACUAGGGUGCGGGAGGGGUGAGCGGAAUUCCUAGUGUGGCGGUGAAAGGCGUGGAUAUUAGGAGGAACACCGGUGGCGAGGGCGGCUUACUGGACCGUAACUGACGUUGGGGCUCGAAAGCGUGGGGAGCAAACAGGAUUAGAUACCCCGUAGUC
Molecule: ribosomal RNA, 439 nt
Filed under: uncultured bacterium
Lineage: Bacteria
Description: partial 16S ribosomal RNA
Rfam family: Bacterial small subunit ribosomal RNA
Source: RNAcentral